RNAcentral lists this ribosomal RNA (497 nucleotides) under uncultured bacterium. RNAcentral describes it as "partial 16S ribosomal RNA". It matches the Rfam family "Bacterial small subunit ribosomal RNA", at positions 28 to 507 of the family's 1533-position model. The record is from RNAcentral.
GAUGAACGCUGGCGGCGUGCCUAAUACAUGCAAGUCGAGCGAACAGACGAGGAGCUUGCUCCUCUGACGUUAGCGGCGGACGGGUGAGUAACACGUGGAUAACCUACCUAUAAGACUGGGAUAACUUCGGGAAACCGGAGCUAAUACCGGAUAAUAUAUUGAACCGCAUGGUUCAAUAGUGAAAGACGGUUUUGCUGUCACUUAUAGAUGGAUCCGCGCCGCAUUAGCUAGUUGGUAAGGUAACGGCUUACCAAGGCAACGAUGCGUAGCCGACCUGAGAGGGGGAUCGGCCACACUGGGACUGAGACACGGUCCAGACUCCUACGGGAGGCAGCAGUGGGGAAUCUUCCGCAAUGGGCGAAAGCCUGACGGAGCAACGCCGCGUGAGUGAUGAAGGUCUUCGGAUCGUAAAACCCUGUUAUUAGGGAAGAACAAAUGUGUAAGUAACUAUGCACGUCUUGACGGUACCUAAUCAGAAAGCCACGGCUAACUACGUG